This 301-nucleotide ribosomal RNA is filed under the name uncultured bacterium. RNAcentral describes it as "partial 16S ribosomal RNA". It matches the Rfam family "Bacterial small subunit ribosomal RNA", at positions 509 to 807 of the family's 1533-position model. The record is from RNAcentral.
CAGCCGCCACGGUAAUACGUAGGUGGCAAGCGUUGUCCGGAAUUAUUGGGCGUAAAGGGCUCGCAGGCGGUUUCUUAAGUCUGAUGUGAAAGCCCCCGGCUCAACCGGGGAGGGUCAUUGGAAACUGGGAAACUUGAGUGCAGAAGAGGAGAGUGGAAUUCCGCGUGUAGCGGUGAAAUGCGUAGAGAUGUGGAGGAACACCAGUGGCGAAGGCGACUCUCUGGUCUGUAACUGACGCUGAGGAGCGAAAGCGUGGGGAGCGAACAGGAUUAGAUACCCCUGUAGUCCCUGUCUCUUAUAC